GAUGAACGCUGGCGGCGUGCCUAAUACAUGCAAGUCGAGCGAACGGACGAGAAGCUUGCUUCUCUGAUGUUAGCGGCGGACGGGUGAGUAACACGUGGAUAACCUACCUAUAAGACUGGGAUAACUUCGGGAAACCGUAGCUAAUACCGGAUAAUAUUUUGAACCGCAUGGUUCAAAAGUGAAAGGCGGUCUUGCUGUCACUUAUAGAUGGAUCCGCGCUGCAUUAGCUAGUUGGUAAGGUAACGGCUUACCAAGGCAACGAUGCAUAGCCGACCUGAGAGGGUGAUCGGCCACACUGGAACUGAGACACGGUCCAGACUCCUACGGGAGGCAGCAGUAGGGAAUCUUCCGCAAUGGGCGAAAGCCUGACGGAGCAACGCCGCGUGAGUGAUGAAGGUCUUCGGAUCGUAAAACUCUGUUAUUAGGGAAGAACAUAUGUGUAAGUAACUGUGCACAUCUUGACGGUACCUAAUCAGAAAGCCACGGCUAACUACGUG
Molecule: ribosomal RNA, 497 nt
Filed under: uncultured bacterium
Lineage: Bacteria
Description: partial 16S ribosomal RNA
Rfam family: Bacterial small subunit ribosomal RNA
Source: RNAcentral